This 506-nucleotide ribosomal RNA is filed under the name uncultured bacterium. Its description in RNAcentral is "partial 16S ribosomal RNA". It matches the Rfam family "Bacterial small subunit ribosomal RNA", at positions 29 to 523 of the family's 1533-position model. The record is from RNAcentral.
AGUGAACGCUGGCGGUAGGCCUAACACAUGCAAGUCGAACGGCAGCACAGGAGAGCUUGCUCUCUGGGUGGCGAGUGGCGGACGGGUGAGGAAUACAUCGGAAUCUACACUGUCGUGGGGGAUAACGUAGGGAAACUUACGCUAAUACCGCAUACGACCUACGGGUGAAAGCAGGGGACCUUCGGGCCUUGCGCGAUUGAAUGAGCCGAUGUCGGAUUAGCUAGUUGGCGGGGUAAAGGCCCACCAAGGCGACGAUCCGUAGCUGGUCUGAGAGGAUGAUCAGCCACACUGGAACUGAGACACAGUCCAGACUCCUACGGGAGGCAGCAGUGGGGAAUAUUGGACAAUGGGCGCAAGCCUGAUCCAGCCAUACCGCGUGGGUGAAGAAGGCCUUCGGGUUGUAAAGCCCUUUUGUUGGGAAAGAAAUCCAGCUGGCUAAUACCCGGUUGGGAUGACGGUACCCAAAGAAUAAGCACCGGCUAACUUCGUGCCAGCAGCCGCGGUAA